This 314-nucleotide signal recognition particle RNA is filed under the name Candidatus Bathyarchaeota archaeon. RNAcentral describes it as "signal recognition particle sRNA". It matches the Rfam family "Archaeal signal recognition particle RNA". Lineage: Archaea; Thermoproteati; Candidatus Bathyarchaeota. The record is from RNAcentral.
UGGUGGGGGACCGGGAAGCUGGUCGUUUCCUGUUACCCGAAAUCGACCUAUGCGGGGGUCCGCUAACGUCUUGGAGCGGCAUUUCCGACCAGGUGUAAGACCCAGCCGUCGACUGUGACAUCCUGCCCCAUCGGGCCGGCGGCGGGGGAGCGUCCUCUGAAGGGAGGGCUGCUACUCCCUAGCGGUCGAAACCGGCGAGGCCCGGAAGGGAGCGGUCGUAAGGUCGACGUCCGACGCUGGUGGGAUCACAGGGUGGAGGAGAUGACUGGGACACCUCACCUGGAAGGAGUGCCCAUCUAGGGCGGAUGCCACCA